CAUUACGUCUUUCUAGCUUUAACAGUGGCGUCUCUACUAUUUAGAACUAUACGUAGAUUAUUACAAAAAUGCGUAUAUUUUGUUAUUAGAUAGCGUUUUCGAUUGUGAAAUUAGAAUUACACACACAUUCGAAACCGCUAUAAAUGUUUUAAAAAUUGUGGAUGUUAUGGCUAAUAUCUGUACCAAUAAAACAGCUAUUAUAGGUAGUUAAUACCUGAAAUUUGAAUAUCAAAAUUGCUAUCGCUAUUUUUCAAAAUUAAUAGGAAAAUAUAAAUAAAAUAAAAUCCAGAUUUUCAAUAUUUCAUUGUUACCGCCAGCCAUACGCGCAGACGCGAGCAAAAGGUAUAUUCUAACCUCAAAUUUUGUCAAAAAAUAAAUAAUGAAGUGAUCUCAAACAUUUAGCCGAGUAUCCGUACUUAAACAGUUAAUACAUUAUUUGUAGAAUAUCAAUCAAAUUUACAUCAAUAACUUUAAGAUUGGCGGCGUACAUAAAAGGUACCAUCACCAUUUUUACAAUUACUUCAGACCAGAGCUUCAGACUUUAGCUAUUGUGUAAUUCUUCCCCUAAUGUUGAAAGAAAACUGUUUUUACGAUCUACAUGGUAUAUUUGAGCUCUAGUUAUUAUUAGCAGGUUUUAGAUAUUAACCGUAACAUAUAUUAUAGCUUUACUGUAAAUACUGAGCGUAGACAGCGAAGCAUUUCACUCUAGAAUUUGGAAAAUCAAUCAAAAGUGUGCAAUCAAAUUUGUUCUGAUAAGUUUGAUAAGAGCGAUAUUAUGAUCACCGAAUAAACUGGUUGAAGGCAAAUAAGACCAAAUGCUGAGCCUCAAAUAGAUACUACCAUUUUUGCUGGGGCCUUAUCAUGCAGCAUAGUAAGAUAAUUCUCAUUUUCUGAUCUUUCAAUAGUUGGAUAUUUAUUGGCUCAAGAAGUCCUAUCAGAAAAAGAAAGAAGUAUGUUAAUGAGGUAUAAUAAUGAUAUUAUGUAGAAAUUUAAGUCUCAUAAAAAUUUGGGAACAAAGAAAAUGAAAAAUAUAUACUUUACAAAUGGGUCUAAGAAGAUUGAAAAAUAAAAUAACAUCAAUGCAUCAAUUAAUUGAUUACUUAAAAGAAAAAUCUUUGAUAAGUGAAUCAUCUGAAUUGACCAUAAGGGUAUAAAUAUAGGCUUCCCUAGCUGGGCCAGCACAAAGUAUUUUUGAAAGAAUGUUAAAAGGACCUGCCACACAAAAAUCCAAUCCUCUGCUACUAUCCUUUGCUUUAACAUUGUAAUUUUAUUCACCGAAAACAUAGAAUUUUAUAAAGGAUACAUAAACUGGCCCAAUAUUUUUGAUAUUUUUAACUCUCAGAAUGGAUUUACAAAAUAUUCAUAUAAAAAAUUAUCAAAAUAUAAGAACAACAUACUUUUUAGUAAUUUUGAAAUAAUUUAAUUGUAUAUUAUUGGACUUACUUUAAAAGAAAGGCCAA
Molecule: long non-coding RNA, 1460 nt
Filed under: Sitophilus oryzae (rice weevil)
Lineage: Eukaryota; Metazoa; Arthropoda; Insecta; Coleoptera; Curculionidae
Description: uncharacterized LOC115876962, transcript variant X1
Source: RNAcentral